AUGAUUUUAUUUGCUCUUAACUGGGAAUGGAAUAGAAGUUACAAUUCUUUAAUUUUAAUAAUCUCCUUAGGUAUUGAUGAUCCACAUGUAAGACAUACGCCCAUCAGAAAAUCACAGGGUUGAAGAAGUUCCCAUGGGAUUGAAAAGACUACCAGGACACCUCAGUUCACGUCGGACCAUUCACAGCAGCAGAAGGGCAGGAUCGGCUGUAGAAAAGGAGACUGAAGAGUUUUCUGCCCCUGCCCAGGGGAGCAAGGUUCCAUGUAGAAGAACCAAUGUGUGCCCAAGAGGCACAGCUGCUAGACCACAGUUCAGAGCCAGAGAAAUUACUUCCACCUCUACCCUACCCUGGCAGCCACUCGAAUUAGGAAUACUGACAUGUUUACAGACAUUAUGGAUGUGACCGAUUUGGGGAUCUUAUGGGCGGUCCAUAAAUUUACAGAAAGUUGACAACACCAUUGUCCCGGAAUACUAUGGGACUUGAUACCUAUAUUUCCUUCCCCAAACUCAACUGGCCUCUUACCAAGAGGAAAGGGAAAGGCCUAGUGGAGAUAAGAUUAAUGACUUUGGAAACCCAUGCCACUAGCGCCACCUCGGAGCCCA
This 603-nucleotide long non-coding RNA is filed under the name Ornithorhynchus anatinus (platypus). RNAcentral's name for it is "lncRNA (ENSOANG00000047448.1)". The record is from RNAcentral. Lineage: Eukaryota; Metazoa; Chordata; Mammalia; Monotremata; Ornithorhynchidae.